GUUUGUAGACAUCCUAUGGAAUUGUAUAUUCUAUACAUUUCACUGCUCAGCUGACCGACUUUAGGGCAUUUGAAAGGUGAUCAAUGAAGGCUCCUUCAUGUGAAUAAGAGGUUUCCCAGCCCCCACGGUAAAAAACUGUGCCAAGGAGACGAGUGAUUUUUGGUGGGCAGAUCUUGGCAUGCUUGGUGCCAAGCCUGAAGGCCAAGUUGAUCCAUCUGCAUUAAAAACAGGUGCCUGGCCGGCUCGCUCUCAGUGGAGCAUAUGACACUUGAUCUUAGGGUUGUGAGUUUGAGCCCGUGUUGGGCGUAGAGCUUACUUUUAAACAAACAAAUAUU
Molecule: long non-coding RNA, 335 nt
Organism: Leopardus geoffroyi (Geoffroy's cat)
Lineage: Eukaryota; Metazoa; Chordata; Mammalia; Carnivora; Felidae
Exons: 2
Source: RefSeq, a predicted model, not a curated record